Mustela lutreola (European mink) is the source of this 745-nucleotide long non-coding RNA. RefSeq lists it as uncharacterized. The transcript has 3 exons. NCBI's taxonomy places the organism in Eukaryota, Metazoa, Chordata, Mammalia, Carnivora, Mustelidae. The record is from RefSeq and is a predicted model, not a curated record.
GCCUGCUUCUCUCUCUUCAGCUCCCCCUGCUUGUGCACUCUCUCUCUCUUUCUCUUCAAAUACUUGACAUAUAUGGAAACAUACUUGACAUGUAUGGAAAGAUAAAAGUCCUCAGCAGAGAGAAGAAGCCAUUAAACCUCAGAACUAAAAAAUAUGUAUCAGAAAUUAAAACUUCACUGGAUAUGCUUCAUGUUAGGAUGGAGAGAAGAACCAGUGAACUUGAAAGCCCAUUAAUAGAAAGUAUCUACUCUAAAGAGCAGGGGAAAAGACUGAAAAAAAAAAAAUUAACAGAUUCAGAAACCUGCCAAAAGGUUGAACGCAAGUUUCCUUGAAGUCCCAGAAAGAGAGGUGAAAAAUGUGGCAUAGACAAAAAUUUUGAAGCCUCACUCCAAAAGAAUUGUGAAAAGAAGUCCUUUGGGCUGAAGAGAAGGAAUCCCAGAAGGAAAUCUGUAUCUGCCGGGGUAAAAAAAGCAACAGAAAUGGAAAUCUCUGAAGGUGUACUGAUGACUCCUCUACUUCCAGAGACAGUAGACUUCCAGGAACUUCCAGAGGACAAUUUUUUUUCCUAGCUUAAAAAAUAUAGUCCUGAGGUGCCUGGGUGGCUCAGUCGUUAAGCAUCUGCCUUUGGGUCAGGUCAUGAUCCCAAGCUCCUGGGAUUGAGCCCCAUAUCCAGCUCCUUGCUCAGCGGGAAGCCUGCUUCACCCUCUCCCACUCCUUCUGUUUUUGUUCCCCCUCUCUCUGUAUC